GUGCCAAAUCGCGUGCCUACAAGAGACGAAAUUACAAUCGGUCGACUCCACUUUGGCUACCUUCUUGGGAGCCUACAAACUAAACUGUUUUGCGUAUAAACCGGCGACAGGCACGAAAGGAGGAAUCCUCCUACUAUGGAAUGACAUGGCAGUACAAAUUCAGAAUGUAAUGAUCGGAUGAUAUUCCAUCUCGGAAGAUGUAAGAAUUCGACAUUGCAUGACAACCUUCACGUUAACCACGAUAUACGGCCCGGCGAGAUGACCCGAAAAAGAAGCUUUCCUACAACACAUGCGGACACUAAAACCACCUGACGACACAAAAUGGAUAAUACUAGGGGAUCUCAACUUAAUCUACCGCGCAAGAGAUAAGAACAAUAUGAAUCUCAACCGGAGUCUAAUGAAUAGUUUCAGAAAUGCCAUCAACUACUGCGGUCUAAAGGAGAUAAGCCUGCAAAAUAGAAAAUUCACAUGGAGCAAUGAGCAAAGGACACCCAUGCUAGUUCGUCUUGAUAGAGUGUUUUGCAACCAAAGUUGGGACCUCCAAUUCGACAAUUGCCUCCUCCACCCGCUAUCAUCAUCCCACUCCAACCACUGCCCCCUGCUACUAACCAACCAUGUCACCCUCAAACGCCC
This 633-nucleotide long non-coding RNA is filed under the name Setaria viridis. RNAcentral's name for it is "long non-coding RNA (SVIR_LNC003977)". Lineage: Eukaryota; Viridiplantae; Streptophyta; Magnoliopsida; Poales; Poaceae. The record is from RNAcentral.